Molecule: long non-coding RNA, 708 nt
Filed under: Olea europaea (common olive)
Lineage: Eukaryota; Viridiplantae; Streptophyta; Magnoliopsida; Lamiales; Oleaceae
Description: long non-coding RNA (OEUR_LNC007894)
Source: RNAcentral
GAAAAACAACCUGUGUCAACUUGUGCAUGUAUAUCUUAAUCUUCUAUUCAAAGAGAGACGUAGAUAAAUGGAUAGAUACAGAGAACAAAUCGUGACGUACAUGAAUUGUACAAAACCUUCUCUUUUCUUCCUUUUCGGACGCGGAAAACAAACAUAAACACACUCCUUUUCAGACACAACACCUCAACCCCACACGGAGAAAGAUGUUUCCAAGAAUCAACCUAAAUUAUGAGUCGUAAGGUUUAUAAUCUAUAAUUUUAGCUACCAUUGUCCUUGUCCUUUUUCCGUUAAUUUUUCUGUAUCAUUGUUUUCAACUAAACUGUCUUUUGCCCUCUUUCUUAAUCUUACGGACCCUUCCAAGUUCACCUCUUGGCUCUUGUCAUUCUUUCCAAAGGCCCACAGAUUAUAAAUUAUACAAUUUUAGAGGUUUUUUUUUUUUUUUUUUUCUGGGCAUUGUUACUUUUUAGUCGUUCAAAAAUUCAGUAAGUUGUUUCGAGGACUUGUCCAUUGUUUAUUUGAAUGUGGCGAUGAUGGAUCUGCGAAGGUGUUUACUUUUGCUUUUGUUGCUGUUUUCGGCUCAAUUAAUUUGCUUGGUGAAGGGGAAUGUUGUGUUUAAAGUUCAACACAAAUUCAGAGGGCGUGUGCUGGGGAGAUCGGCUCUUAGUGCAUUUCGAGCCCAUGAUUCUUUCCGGCACGGCAGAAUGCUGG